AGCAGUCGCCACGGUAAUACGGAGGGUGCAAGCGUUAAUCGGAAUUACUGGGCGUAAAGCGCACGCAGGCGGUCUGUCAAGUCAGAUGUGAAAUCCCCGGGCUUAACCUGGGAACUGCAUUUGAAACUGGCAGGCUAGAGUCUUGUAGAGGGGGGUAGAAUUCCAGGUGUAGCGGUGAAAUGCGUAGAGAUCUGGAGGAAUACCGGUGGCGAAGGCGGCCCCCUGGACAAAGACUGACGCUCAGGUGCGAAAGCGUGGGGAGCAAACAGGAUUAGAUACCCCGGUAGUCCCUGUCUCUUAUAC
This 303-nucleotide ribosomal RNA is filed under the name uncultured bacterium. RNAcentral describes it as "partial 16S ribosomal RNA". It matches the Rfam family "Bacterial small subunit ribosomal RNA", at positions 507 to 807 of the family's 1533-position model. The record is from RNAcentral.